AUGGUAUCUUGGAGUGACGGAUCGAGCUCGUCCUCCGACGGCUACUCUGUGACAAGUGAGGCUCCUGCUCCUGCCACCAUUUUCUGCUCUGAGUGGACAGGCCUUGCUCCAGAUAUUGCAGCUAGAUGUGAACACCAGUGUGUGUGUGAGAAGUUUGUGUGCUUUGAAUCAGUUGACAGUGGAAGGAGGUAUCUUGCUUGUGCUCAAAAGGAAAUACCUAAAUGCAAGUUUGUGGAGUGGAUUGACCCUGAAUGGCCAGACACUCUGAAGAUGAGUUUAGCCAGGGUUUGGGCCAUGUAUGAUGAUGAGGUAAAGCUGAGGCUCAGGGAAAGUGUAGUUCUUGCUGAAGAAAAUUUUAGGGUUGUGAAAGAGAAGGAAAAGAUGGCAAAUGAUCUGAGGUUUUUUAAACUAGAUUUUGCUAAGAUGGUGGGUGACAAGGAGCAGGCAGUUACUGAAUUGGGCAAUGCAAGACUUGCUCUUUCUGACCUAAAGGAAGAGCUUCAGAAGAAGAAGAUGGCUGAUAAAUCUACCACUAGCAUUCAUCAGGUUGUGAGGGCUAAGGCAGAGAAAGAGAUGGAUGAGAUGAAACAACAGAUGGAGAGCAUGAAGGAAGAGUUGGACAAAGUGGUGUCACAGAGGGAUGAGCUGAAGAAGGAGAAGAAGAAACUAGAGUACAUGAUUGGUGAUCUAUUCAGGCACAAGGAGGAGACCAAGAGCAAGAUAAGGAGGCUGAAGGAGAUCUUAGAUGAAUCUGAGUAA
Molecule: ribosomal RNA, 759 nt
Filed under: Triticum aestivum (bread wheat)
Lineage: Eukaryota; Viridiplantae; Streptophyta; Magnoliopsida; Poales; Poaceae
Description: partial small subunit ribosomal RNA
Source: RNAcentral